GGUCAUAGCUCAGACAUUCUAAUUUACAAAUGAUGUUAAUUCUUGGACUUUUUGAUUUGUUUUUAAUUGUUUGAUUAUUCCAGUGGUGUCCACGUUUGUUCGUCAUAGCUUAAAGGGUCGUACACCAUGGCAUGCUGAUCAGCAUGGUGGAAAUCUUCUUGACUGAGCUUAAAUUCGCACAUGUCUCGAUUGAGAAAGUUUAUGUCAACAAAAUUUUGCAAAAGAGGUAUUCUAGAAACUGCCGUAAUUCAUUCUCUGUGAUAUUUGUGAAAUUCCUGGGAGUAGUAAUGUGAACCAGUGGAUGAUAUCAAGCUUAAAAAAAAAACAAGAAAAACAAUCAACCCAGGAACUGAGGCAGAUGAAAAACUAAACUUUAGAUGCUGUACUGUAAAGCAAAAUGAAACACAACGAAAACGUUCAGAAACAACAUAAUGCAAACACUGCUUUUAAAAUGGGGCAUCUUAUUCAUUACUAUAAGGACCAAAGUUUGGAUGUUACAUUGCUUUUUAAAAAAACUUUCAUUUUCUUUUCCAUCCUCUCAAGUAAUUCAGUUGCCAGUAUGAUGAACAUUCAAGCUCCCGUUCCGUUCAAGCCAUUCCGUAAAAAACUGUCGGGAACUUCGCGAACAUCUGUAGCCGUUGAGUUUACAGCGAAAAAUUUCUUAUCUUGGAUUAGGACCCACCCGGCUGUUCAAGAAGUUACCUACGAUGCGUAACUAAGAAGUAACUAGAUGGCGUUAGAAGCACAGAAGCCUACGAUGCCUAACUAGCAAGCAACUAGAUGGCGUUAGAAGCACGGAAGCCUACGAUGCCUACCUAGCAAGCAACUAGAUGGCGUUAGAAGCACGAAAGCCUACGAUGCCUAACUAGCAAGCAACUAGAUGGCGUUAGAAGCACGGAAGCCUACUAUGCCUAUAUAGCAAGUAACCAGAUGGCGUUAUAAGUACGGAAGCACCAGGGGCGUGGUUAAAAUGGUUAACUGGAUGAAAACGAGUCUUGGUAAUGGACAAAUGGUAGACGCACGACAUUUUGUUUUUCAUCUGUGUCGUCGAGUUAAUUUUCUGCAUGCCAUCAACUGAAAGCGCUCGCCAUUUUGGUCUUCCCUCAUGCAGGCUGAACUGUCUUCAUGAUUUGGUCUCCUUUUUCUGCCAUAAAAUGGCAGAAAAUUAAUGGAAAUCAAUUUCGUUUAUUAAGAACAAAAGAUUUAGUAAUCCUUGGCAUAAUAAAAACCAAAAAAUGAUUUGGAAGCAUCUGGAGUUUACGGAAGGAAUUGCUGCCUGUGUUUAGUUUUGCUUGAGUAUUGUCACAACCCUCAUGUAACACAAACUAAUGGAGGUCAUGAAGUAUAGCCCUAAGGUUGGUAAAGCUAUAUACAAGGAUAGCAAAAAACAAACAAAGGUGUCAAAGGCAUGUUAAGUCAUACACAGAGCAUUUUUUAAAAAUUAUUUCUCAGAGUAGUAGUUGAUUCAUCAACUAUGCCAAAAGAUUCAUUUCAACACAAACAUCAAAGGUAUGUUGUGCAGUGGAGCCAUUGGGUUGGUAGUGUCUAUCAGAGUGACAUCAAGUUGUACAAAAUAGUAGAACAGAAUUGUCAGAGUAUAGUCGAGCUCUCUGUGACCAUGGCAGAAAAUCGUAGCAUUUGCCGUCAGCUGCAAUUUACAUUGUCCAUCAGCUUUCAGCUAAGGAUAAACUAUCAACGUAUUCCGCACUUUGGCCUGUAUAUCCGUAAAUUUCGAUUGGUCACCUGUAGAAGUUGAAAGCAUCAGCUAACUACAACAUCAAGCUGCUGUCUUGGCUGUUAUCUUUUAUUGAUAGCUGGAAAGACCGCUGGUGUACCGAUGGACUCGUCCGAGUACUAUGUCACAUGUGCGACACGCCACAACGUUCGUUGCUCUCACAUACUUCUCUACCGGGAUACCAGAUUGCUACAAAAUGAAAAAAUACAACAUAACCACAAACUCGGGUUUACCGCAUUUUAAUGUAUGCCUCACCAAGCUACAUUACCAAUUCAUCCGAGUACUACACGACUAAACCUGUGUAUUGCACAACGACUUGUGUUACGUUAACAUAUUCUACCAAAGCCUCGAAAUAUCACCCUUCACUGGUUUACUACACCGACGCUGCCCAAUCUUAUUACGUCGUGUCCAACUACUACGCGUCAACUUAUGCCGCUUCAGUUUACUACACUGAAGAUCUGAAAUGAAAGUCGGUUGGAGUCUACUUUGCUGAGGUUUCUUUUUACUAUAUUACUUCGUUUAUCUCGCGUUGCUCUUAAACUAAGGCCACAGAAUACUACAUCACAAAUGCUGACAAUUACUAUAUUACCGCAUUGCACACAUCUCAUUUCCGGAAUCUUACCCUUCCAGAAGGUGGAAUACCAUACUACAACCCGAGUUACUAUACCGAGAGCAAAAGUUUUUACACCGAAUGCAUAAAGGCAUAAUGCACGUAGAUAAUCCAUAAUUAAAAAUAUGGAAAAUUGCUCACGUGCAUGUAUUGUGUCGUUAUGACCUGCACGUCUAUAGUUCAAAAGAUU
Long non-coding RNA from Daphnia carinata, 2535 nucleotides. RefSeq lists it as uncharacterized. NCBI's taxonomy places the organism in Eukaryota, Metazoa, Arthropoda, Branchiopoda, Diplostraca, Daphniidae. The transcript has 12 exons. The record is from RefSeq and is a predicted model, not a curated record.